Molecule: unclassified non-coding RNA, 337 nt
Filed under: soil metagenome
Description: partial contains 5.8S ribosomal RNA, internal transcribed spacer 2, and large subunit ribosomal RNA
Rfam family: 5.8S ribosomal RNA (bases 1-121)
Source: RNAcentral
GAUGAAGAACGUAGCGAAAUGCGAUAAGUAAUGCGAAUUGCAGAAUUCCAGUGAGUCAUCGAAUCUUUGAACGCACAUUGCGCCCUUUGGUAUUCCGAAGGGCAUGCCUGUUCGAGCGUCAUUUCAACCAUCAAGCCCCAGGCUUGUGUUGGGGACCUGCGGCUGCCGCAGGCCCUGAAAACCAGUGGCGGGCUCGCUGUCACACCGGGCGUAGUAGAUUUUAUCUCGCUCAGGGCGUGCUGCGGGUUCCGGCCGUUAAAAAGCCUUUUUUACCCAAGGUUGACCUCGGAUCAGGUAGGAAGACCCGCUGAACUUAAGCAUAUCAAUAAGCGGAGGA